Ochotona curzoniae (black-lipped pika) is the source of this 186-nucleotide long non-coding RNA. RefSeq lists it as uncharacterized. The transcript has 3 exons. NCBI's taxonomy places the organism in Eukaryota, Metazoa, Chordata, Mammalia, Lagomorpha, Ochotonidae. The record is from RefSeq and is a predicted model, not a curated record.
CACCUCAUGAUCUAAGCACGUUGACACCAAAAAUUUGGCACAAUAUUUCCUAAGCACCUACUAGAAGACAGGCACCGGGCUGAGUACAAGAGACAAGAAGACAGAGGAGCUUCUCUGUACACUGUGAGUACACGGAACCCUGUCAUGUUGCAGCACAGCAGUGUGAAGUUGGACCAGGAGUUAAUG